UAACCUGCCCAAGAGAUCGGGAUAACACCUGGAAACAGAUGCUAAUACCGGAUAACAACAGAUGAUGCCUAUCAACUGUUUAAAAGAUGGUUCUGCUAUCACUCUUGGAUGGACCUGCGGUGCAUUAGCUAGUUGGUAGGGUAACGGCCUACCAAGGCGAUGAUGCAUAGCCGAGUUGAGAGUCUGAUCGGCCACAUUGGGACUGAGACACGGCCCAAACUCCUACGGGAGGCAGCAGCC
RNAcentral lists this ribosomal RNA (240 nucleotides) under uncultured Lactobacillus sp. Its description in RNAcentral is "partial 16S ribosomal RNA". It matches the Rfam family "Bacterial small subunit ribosomal RNA", at positions 122 to 355 of the family's 1533-position model. The record is from RNAcentral. Lineage: Bacteria; Bacillati; Bacillota; Bacilli; Lactobacillales; Lactobacillaceae.